This 1556-nucleotide ribosomal RNA is filed under the name uncultured bacterium. RNAcentral's name for it is "bacterial SSU rRNA". It matches the Rfam family "Bacterial small subunit ribosomal RNA". The record is from RNAcentral.
AGAGUUUGAUCCUGGCUCAGGACGAACGCUGGCGGCGUGCCUAACACAUGCAAGUCGAGCGGUUUGGUUUUCAGCACUGAGUAUUUACAGCGUCAAGGCUGCGCAAGCAGACUUCACGCGUUAAAUAGUGUAACACACUACGUGAGUAUUGAGUGCUGGAAACCAGAUAGCGGCGGACGGGUGAGUAACACGUGGGCAACCUGCCCUAAGGAGAGGGAUAACACCAGGAAACUGGUGCUAAUACCGCAUAAAUCAUCUCCAGCACAUGCUGGAGAUGACAAAGAUUUAUCGCCUUAGGAUGGGCCCGCGUCCCAUUAGCCAGUUGGUGAGGUAACGGCCCACCAAAGCUACGAUGGGUAGCCGACCUGAGAGGGUGAUCGGCCACAUUGGAACUGAGACACGGUCCAGACUCCUACGGGAGGCAGCAGUGGGGAAUAUUGCACAAUGGGGGAAACCCUGAUGCAGCAACGCCGCGUGAGCGAUGAAGGCCUUCGGGUUGUAAAGCUCUGUCUUCGCUGACGAUAAUGACGGUAAGCGAGGAGGAAGCCACGGCUAACUACGUGCCAGCAGCCGCGGUAAUACGUAGGUGGCAAGCGUUGUCCGGAAUUACUGGGCGUAAAGGAUGCGUAGGCGGCUUCUUAAGUGGGAUGCGAAAUGCCGGGGCUUAACCCCGGAUGUGCAUUCCAUACUGGGAGGCUAGAGUGCAGGAGAGGAAAGCGGAAUUCCCAGUGUAGCGGUGAAAUGCGUAGAGAUUGGGAGGAACACCAGUGGCGAAGGCGGCUUUCUGGACUGUAACUGACGCUGAGGCAUGAAAGUGUGGGGAGCAAACAGGAUUAGAUACCCUGGUAGUCCACACCGUAAACGAUGGGCACUAGGUGUAGGGGGCGUAGCCCUCUGUGCCGCAGUUAACACAUUAAGUGCCCCGCCUGGGGAGUACGAUCGCAAGAUUAAAACUCAAAGGAAUUGACGGGGGCCCGCACAAGCAGCGGAGCAUGUGGUUUAAUUCGAAGCAACGCGAAGAACCUUACCAGGACUUGACAUCCACGGAAUCCUUAAGAGAUUAGGGAGUGCCCCUUCGGGGGAACCGUGAGACAGGUGGUGCAUGGUUGUCGUCAGCUCGUGUCGUGAGAUGUUGGGUUAAGUCCCGCAACGAGCGCAACCCCUGUUGCUAGUUGCCAUCAUUAAGUUGGGCACUCUAGCGAGACUGCCGAGGUUAACUCGGAGGAAGGUGGGGAUGACGUCAAAUCAUCAUGCCCUUUAUGUCCUGGGCCACACACGUGCUACAAUGGCUGGUACAGCGAGAUGCAAUACCGCGAGGUGGAGCAAAUCUUCAAAACCAGUCCCGGUUCGGAUUGUAGGCUGCAACCCGCCUACAUGAAGCUGGAGUUGCUAGUAAUCGUGGAUCAGAAUGCCACGGUGAAUGCGUUCCCGGGCCUUGUACACACCGCCCGUUACACCAUGAGAGUUGGCAAUACCCAAAGUCCGUGAGGUAACCGUAAGGAGCCAGCGGCCUAAGGUAGGGUCAGCGAUUGGGGUGAAGUCGUAACAAGGUAGCC